Molecule: unclassified non-coding RNA, 109 nt
Organism: Pan troglodytes (chimpanzee)
Lineage: Eukaryota; Metazoa; Chordata; Mammalia; Primates; Hominidae
Rfam family: Y RNA
About the family: Y RNAs are components of the Ro ribonucleoprotein particle (Ro RNP), in association with Ro60 and La proteins. The Y RNAs and Ro60 and La proteins are well conserved, but the function of the Ro RNP is not known. In humans the RNA component can be one of four small RNAs -- hY1, hY3, hY4 and hY5.
Source: Ensembl
GACUUUUCUGAAGACAAUGAGCUAUCUCAGUUAAUUCAAUCAGUUACAGAUCAAACUCCGUGUUCUACUGUGUUCCCCAUUCUCACUACUGCACUUGAAUAGCACUUAA